Long non-coding RNA from Talpa occidentalis (Iberian mole), 938 nucleotides. RefSeq lists it as uncharacterized. The transcript is spliced from 5 exons. The record is from RefSeq and is a predicted model, not a curated record. Lineage: Eukaryota; Metazoa; Chordata; Mammalia; Eulipotyphla; Talpidae.
AAUCGGGCUUGCUGUUUUUAGGGUUUUGUUUGGUCUUUUAGAUUCUCUGACGCAGCGAAUUUCUAAAAAGCUUCUGGAAAAAUCAGAGCACACAUUAAACUUAGUCUUUGUACUGCCCAACGGAGAGAGAAGCUGGGGUGUCUCCUGCUUUGACAUCCAUCAGGUGUGCGAUCUUUGCCUGUCUUCAUCCCUUACCUGGACACUCAUCAUCAAUUCAUCCCAGCAGUCACCUAGAGAGACACUGUGCUCAAUGCUGCACUUACAACAGGAGAACAACAGAUGCCAUGACUCCUUCCUCUGAAAUGGAAGCUACAGAGGCCAGAGGAGUGGCAUUCAAAAAAGAAAACCCAAAGCCAAAGAUUUAAAUUACAAUGGUCAAAACUGGUCCUUGCGUUGUGAAUAUGAGCUAUAGACAACAUGGCCUUCCCUGUGAGGACAGGGCUCUGGGGCUUCGGAGGCAGGUGUUUGGAAGUAACACCUGCUGAAAACACCACAAGGAAUCAGAAAUCUCUUGUUCCUAACAAUGUGUCCGAGUUUGCUUAUCAACUGGCUACCUCUGAGGCCUGGAGUGCCCUCAGUAAGGGCACCUGCUCUCACAGGAACAGGAUGCCUCCCGGAGAGGGGAAGUUUGCAGCCCACCUCCCUCAGCUGGCUUUAGAGGCCCAACACCACCCUCCUCCUGCCACACUGGACGCCACGUCUGACAUGAUCUCUAUCCUGCUGCCCUUUUCAACUCCCUGGACUGGGAUCACACAGAGGAGGUCAAUGCAAAGUCCAGCGUGAUUUCUUUGGAAAAUGACUACUUUGGAGCAGGAGGCCUGGCCUCCUCCCCUGGGGCCACCACUCACUUGCUGUGUGGCUUAACCUUGUGGGGUCUCAAUUUCCCGCUUUGGCAUAUAACAUUUAUAUUGUAAUAAAGAGCUUACAAAACGUUUUUC